Molecule: long non-coding RNA, 878 nt
Organism: Portunus trituberculatus (swimming crab)
Lineage: Eukaryota; Metazoa; Arthropoda; Malacostraca; Decapoda; Portunidae
Exons: 2
Source: RefSeq, a predicted model, not a curated record
AGUAGUAAUUAAUGAAUCUCUCCAGUAGUGUCCUCCCCGCUGAGUUGGAAGGAUGUCAUAUCACUCUCCAUGUUUACAUGAGUGGCAGCCCCUACAAGUGGAAAUCAGAAGUGAUUUGGAGUGAUCACGCCUACUCAGUGGUUACUGAGGGAGGUCUAGGCCCGUUUUGCCAGCCAGAAAUAGGCCAGAAGAAGCCAGAAAAUAAGCGUCCGUGCCUGGGUUUGGUGGUGCCCGCCGCCACAACAACCAGUACGUACGCCCAUAAUUGAAUUUCACGCCACGGCUAAACAGCAACUCAAAAAUACAUUUGAGCACAGAACAUUUUCAACCUGGAAUAAUCUGCAGUGCCACCUCUGGAAAUAUCUGCAGAAACUCGCGUUACACCCUGUAUAUAUAGUACGAGUUUUACCAGCUGCAGACCUAUUGGCCUUCACGAAGUUGCAUGCUGUUGAUAAUCUUCGAUAUCUAAUCUAGAUAAGAGAGGAUGAUGUCGGUGGGAACUCCCGCUAACCUUUAGUGGCGUAUGACAACCCUCACCUGCAGGAACAGCCAUGUCCAAGAGCAGAAGAGUGCCUGAGACUAGAUACAAGGUCAUGGAAAGACACCGUCUGCCUACACGCACGGCGAUGGGCGUUGUGAGGAUGAUGGCUGUGAAGUCCAUCACUCCUGACAAGGCCACGUACAUAAAUGGAUCAUUGCUGAAAAAAAUGAAUAGGUAGCCUAAAUACAAUUUUGUUACAUAAGAUCAAUUAAGUAUUGCCAUAUUUUCCCUCUUCUACAAACGUCUGUACCAUUUAUCUGUAAUAAUUAUUUUCCUUUUUCCCUAUCACACUACAAUAUUCUGAAAUAAUUAACUUUUUUUUUUUUUUUUUUUUUUU